AUUGAACGCUGGCGGCAGGCCUAACACAUGCAAGUCGAACGGUAACAGGAAGAAGCUUGCUUCUUUGCUGACGAGUGGCGGACGGGUGGGUAAUGUCUGGGAAACUGCCUGAUGGAGGGGGAUAACUACUGGAAACGGUAGCUAAUACCGCAUAACGUCGCAAGACCAAAGAGGGGGACCUUCGGGCCUCUUGCCAUCGGAUGUGCCCAGAUGGGAUUAGCUAGUAGGUGGGGUAACGGCUCACCUAGGCGACGAUCCCUAGCUGGUCUGAGAGGAUGACCAGCCACACUGGAACUGAGACACGGUCCAGACUCCUACGGGAGGCAGCAGUGGGGAAUAUUGCACAAUGGGCGCAAGCCUGAUGCAGCCAUGCCGCGUGUAUGAAGAAGGCCUUCGGGUUGUAAAGUACUUUCAGCGGGGAGGAAGGGAGUAAAGUUAAUACCUUUGCUCAUGGACGUUACCCGCAGAAGAAGCACCGGCUAACUCCGU
RNAcentral lists this ribosomal RNA (489 nucleotides) under uncultured bacterium. RNAcentral's name for it is "partial 16S ribosomal RNA". It matches the Rfam family "Bacterial small subunit ribosomal RNA", at positions 30 to 506 of the family's 1533-position model. The record is from RNAcentral.